Rhipicephalus microplus (southern cattle tick) is the source of this 408-nucleotide RNA transcript. RefSeq lists it as uncharacterized. Lineage: Eukaryota; Metazoa; Arthropoda; Arachnida; Ixodida; Ixodidae. The record is from RefSeq and is a predicted model, not a curated record.
AAGUAAGCACUCGUUUGGCAUCACUGGAGAGUGUUCUUAGAGCUCAAGCGUGCUUGAAUCGUACGGCGAUCUUCUGAUCUGCAAGUGCUGAAACCGGCCCCCUCUUUUAAAGCCGAGAGAAACUCUGCAAGGACAGCACUAAUGGAUGUGGUGUUGCUGGUGAAGGAGAAGAACUUCCGUAAUGUCUUGGGUUGCAGCCAGCAUCCAGAUGCGCUUACGACAGAGUUGACCAAGUUCUAUGUGCUGACCAUGCUGCAUUUAGGACUCAACAAAUCGCGACAUGAAUGGCGUAAAAAGAAAUUGCAUGCAAAGAUCAACCGUUCCUCCUAAUGCCUCUCUCGUUGCAGCCAUGUACUUUGAGAACACUACUGUGGUGUUUUGUACCAAUAAAGUUUUUUUGUUGCCAGU